Molecule: long non-coding RNA, 679 nt
Organism: Gigantopelta aegis
Lineage: Eukaryota; Metazoa; Mollusca; Gastropoda; Neomphalida; Peltospiridae
Exons: 3
Source: RefSeq, a predicted model, not a curated record
GGCUAGAAUCUGAAAUACACGAUGGACAUGUAAUUGUUUUUUCGCAGCGUGUGCCUUUUCCACACGAGCGAGAUAUGUAACGGGUAGGCGUGCUUGAACAUUCAUAGGAUAUAAGCACUUAAACAGAGAUUUGGUUUCAUAGUAGAUUCCACACGAUACCGGACACACUGACAGGUAGCACGGGUUCAAGGACAGAAGAAAACCAUGUUGAAAGAAACGCUGUGUAUUCUGGUCGUCUGUCUGACUGUAGUCAUACCGGAAGUAGCCGGUGAUACAUGCAAGCGCUACACAGUAAACGGAUGUAGUAUCCCCGGUAAUCUCCCCUUUUUCUACAAGAAACGAUUCACAGGCGCUUGUAACAGACACGACGUUUGUUACAAUUGUGGCAAGUCUAGAGGUACGAGUCGGAAAACCUGCGAUCGUGACUUCCUCUCCAACAUGAAGAAAAAGUGCCGUUGGUACCUACCUCACUGUCGAUCGACUGCCUAUGUUUACUACUUCGCCGUCAGGGCUGGAGGAUCGAAGCGAUACAAGCAGACGUCGCCAUGGUGGUGCAAACAGAGCUGGGUUUCCGGUUGCAUGAAAUAGGACAAUCAUUCGGAAGCAUACCCGUGCAAAUGCGCAGGUAACUCCCAGUUUUGUUUCCUGCGGAUAAUAAACUGAGUAACAUAAUAAAAAA